Molecule: signal recognition particle RNA, 283 nt
Filed under: Mustela putorius furo (domestic ferret)
Lineage: Eukaryota; Metazoa; Chordata; Mammalia; Carnivora; Mustelidae
Description: Metazoan signal recognition particle RNA (ENSMPUG00000023559.1)
Rfam family: Metazoan signal recognition particle RNA
About the family: The signal recognition particle (SRP) is a universally conserved ribonucleoprotein.
Source: RNAcentral
GCCGGGCGCGGUGGCGCGCGCCUGUAGUCCCAGCUACUCGGGAGGCUGAGGCAGGAGGAUCGCUUGAGCCCAGGAGUUCUGGGCUGUAGUGCGCUAUGCCGAUCGGGUGUCCGCACUAAGUUCGGCAUCAAUAUGGUGACCUCCCGGGAGCGGGGGACCACCAGGUUGCCUAAGGAGGGGUGAACCGGCCCAGGUCGGAAACGGAGCAGGUCAAAACCAACAUAAAAGCAGGAAGACCCUUGUUAAAACUUAUUACCAACACUUUGGUGUCUGGAUUAUUUCC